UGCCGGGGUCGCCUAGCCAGGUAGGGCGGCGGCCUGCUAAGCCGCUGGGGCUAUACCCCGCGCGGGUUCAAAUCCCGCCCCCGGCGUCC
RNAcentral lists this transfer RNA (89 nucleotides) under Sulfodiicoccus acidiphilus. Its description in RNAcentral is "tRNA-Ser". It matches the Rfam family "tRNA". From Rfam's summary of the family: Transfer RNA (tRNA) molecules are approximately 80 nucleotides in length. Their secondary structure includes four short double-helical elements and three loops (D, anti-codon, and T loops). The record is from RNAcentral. Lineage: Archaea; Thermoproteati; Thermoproteota; Thermoprotei; Sulfolobales; Sulfolobaceae.